GAUGAAGAACGCAGCGAAAUGCGAUACGUAAUGUGAAUUGCAAAUUCAGUGAAUCAUCGAGUCUUUGAACGCACAUUGCGCCCCCUGGUAUUCCGGGGGGCAUGCCUGUUCGAGCGUCAUUACAACCCUCAAGCUCUGCUUGGUAUUGGGCCCCGCCAGUUCUGGCGGGCCCUAAAGUCAGUGGCGGUGCCUUCCGGCUCCGAGCGUAGUAAUUCUUCUCGCUCUGGAGACCCGGUUGUGUGCUUGCCAACAACCCCCAAUUUUUUAAGGUUGACCUCGGAUCAGGUAGGGAUACCCGCUGAACUUAAGCAUAUCAAUAGCGGAGGA
RNAcentral lists this unclassified non-coding RNA (327 nucleotides) under soil metagenome. Its description in RNAcentral is "partial contains 5.8S ribosomal RNA, internal transcribed spacer 2, and large subunit ribosomal RNA". The stretch from base 1 to 119 matches the Rfam family "5.8S ribosomal RNA", at positions 35 to 154 of the family's 154-position model. The record is from RNAcentral.